CGCAAGUGUAUUCCUAUACUGUUGCGUUUAAAUAGCUCGUAGUUGGAUCUGCGUGUUUAGCGCGUGGUGCCGUUUUUCGACGGUUACUACGACGCGACACAGUGUGCUGGUGAAUGAUGCUCUCGCGAGUGUUAGUUGCCAGCGAGUUUACUUUGAACAAAUCAGAGUGCUCAAAACGGGCGUUUCGCUCGAAUGUUCUUGCAUGGAAUAAUGGAAUAGGACCUCGUGUUCUAUUUUGUUGGUUUUCGGGACCGAGGUAAUGAUUAAGAGGGACAGACGGGGGCAUUUGUACUGCGACGUGAGAGGUGAAAUUCUUGGAUCGUCGCAAGACAGACUACUGCGAAAGCAUUUGCCAAGAAUGUUUUCAUUAA
This 371-nucleotide ribosomal RNA is filed under the name uncultured eukaryote. Its description in RNAcentral is "partial 18S ribosomal RNA". It matches the Rfam family "Eukaryotic small subunit ribosomal RNA", at positions 592 to 976 of the family's 1831-position model. The record is from RNAcentral.